GAAAAGCACUAGCGGCUGUGGAAGCUAAUCUGUGCACUGUAUGACACUCUAAAUGUUACUAAUCCUGACCUUACCCAAAAAUGUUGGUUAUGUUACAGUGUCU
Molecule: long non-coding RNA, 103 nt
Organism: Ochotona curzoniae (black-lipped pika)
Lineage: Eukaryota; Metazoa; Chordata; Mammalia; Lagomorpha; Ochotonidae
Exons: 3
Source: RefSeq, a predicted model, not a curated record